Molecule: ribosomal RNA, 442 nt
Filed under: uncultured bacterium
Lineage: Bacteria
Description: partial 16S ribosomal RNA
Rfam family: Bacterial small subunit ribosomal RNA
Source: RNAcentral
CCUACGGGAGGCAGCAGUAGGGAAUCUUUCACAAUGGGCGAAAGCCUGAUGGAGCAACGCCGCGUGCAGGAUGAAGGCCUUCGGGUUGUAAACUGCUUUUAUAAGCGAGAAAUAUGAUGGUAACUUAUGAAUAAGGAUCGGCUAACUACGUGCCAGCAGCCGCGGUCAUACGUAGGAUCCGAGCAUUAUCCGGAGUGACUGGGUGUAAAGAGUUGCGUAGGUGGCAUAAUAAGUAGCUAGUUAAAUCUGGUGGCUCAACCAUUCAGACUAUUAGCUAAACUGUUACGCUCGAGACCGUUAGGGGUAACUGGAAUUUCUAGUGUAGGAGUGAAAUCCGUAGAUAUUAGAAGGAACACCAAUAGCGUAGGCAGGUUGCUGGGACGGUUCUGACACUAAGGCACGAAAGCGUAGGGAGCAAACGGGAUUAGAUACCCGAGUAGUC